GUCUACGGCCAUACUACCCUGAAUGUGCCCAAUCUCGUCUGAUCUGGAAAGCUAACCAGUGUUGGGCCUGGUUAGUACUUGGAUGGGAUACUUAUCCUGUAAGCC
This 105-nucleotide ribosomal RNA is filed under the name Heterocephalus glaber (naked mole-rat). The record is from RNAcentral. Lineage: Eukaryota; Metazoa; Chordata; Mammalia; Rodentia; Bathyergidae.